Frieseomelitta varia is the source of this 688-nucleotide long non-coding RNA. RefSeq lists it as uncharacterized. The record is from RefSeq and is a predicted model, not a curated record. The transcript has 3 exons. NCBI's taxonomy places the organism in Eukaryota, Metazoa, Arthropoda, Insecta, Hymenoptera, Apidae.
GAAAACUACUUGAGGCGUGGGCGCCUCAGUAACAUUUUCGUUUAACGAAAUUGUGUGGGAAUAAUGAUACUAUCAUUGUCGUUAAGUUCAUCAUCACUCAUCUGCAUAUCGUUGUCUUCAGAACAGACUACAUAGUGCAUCCAUGAACAACUCAUCAUAAAAAAUUUUCAUUGUUGCUUCUAGACAUUUUUAACACUUUCAGUAUUUCUUUUUUUUAACUUUAUUUUUUUUACCAAUUAUAUAUUGUGCUUUAUAGAAACAGUUCAUAAGUAAUUGCGAACAAUUUCAGAUCAAGUAACUGAUAAUUACAGAAAAAGAGAAACGCGUCGCUAAAGUCAAAGUGGAAGAUCUUUCCUAAGAUCAGUUAGCUAAGUGUAACAUCGAAUAUCGAUAGACUUCGAUGCUAGGCGCACAGCCACUUGCGGCUUGUACAAGUCUGUGGUCGAUACUCGGACUCGAAGCACUCUAGGCGCUACAAGUUCAGAUGAAAUCCCUCGAACAAAAAUUGUUAUGCAACGUGACCGUUAAAAAAUACAGUUAGACUUCAGACUACGAUGGAAAACAGUUCCAGCAUUUGUUCAAAUGAAAUCCCACGAACAAGAAUUGUUAGGCAACGUGACCGUUAAAAAAGACAGUUAAAGACUUCAGACUACAAUGGAAAACAGUUCGAGCAUUUGUAAGUAUCACU